GCUGAUGUGGCUCAGGUGGUAGAGCACAUCCUUGGUAAGGAUGAGGUCACCAGUUCAAGUCUGGUCAUCAGCU
Molecule: transfer RNA, 73 nt
Filed under: Firmicutes bacterium CAG:475
Lineage: Bacteria; Bacillati; Bacillota
Rfam family: tRNA
About the family: Transfer RNA (tRNA) molecules are approximately 80 nucleotides in length. Their secondary structure includes four short double-helical elements and three loops (D, anti-codon, and T loops).
Source: Rfam by way of RNAcentral